This 465-nucleotide ribosomal RNA is filed under the name uncultured Klebsiella sp. Its description in RNAcentral is "bacterial SSU rRNA". It matches the Rfam family "Bacterial small subunit ribosomal RNA", at positions 338 to 795 of the family's 1533-position model. Lineage: Bacteria; Pseudomonadati; Pseudomonadota; Gammaproteobacteria; Enterobacterales; Enterobacteriaceae. The record is from RNAcentral.
CCUACGGGAGGCUGCAGUGGGGAAUAUUGCACAAUGGGCGCAAGCCUGAUGCAGCCAUGCCGCGUGUGUGAAGAAGGCCUUCGGGUUGUAAAGCACUUUCAGCGGGGAGGAAGGCGGUGAGGUUAAUAACCUCGUCGAUUGACGUUACCCGCAGAAGAAGCACCGGCUAACUCCGUGCCAGCAGCCGCGGUAAUACGGAGGGUGCAAGCGUUAAUCGGAAUUACUGGGCGUAAAGCGCACGCAGGCGGUCUGUCAAGUCGGAUGUGAAAUCCCCGGGCUCAACCUGGGAACUGCAUUCGAAACUGGCAGGCUGGAGUCUUGUAGAGGGGGGUAGAAUUCCAGGUGUAGCGGUGAAAUGCGUAGAGAUCUGGAGGAAUACCGGUGGCGAAGGCGGCCCCCUGGACAAAGACUGACGCUCAGGUGCGAGAGCGUGGGGAGCAAACAGGAUUAGAUACCCUAGUAGUC